GAUGAACGCUCGCUACAGGCUUAACACAUGCAAGUCGAGGGGCAGCAUGGUCUUAGCUUGCUAAGGCCGAUGGCGACCGGCGCACGGGUGAGUAACACGUAUCCAACCUGCCGUCUACUCUUGGACAGCCUUCUGAAAGGAAGAUUAAUACAAGAUGGCAUCAUGAGUCCGCAUGUUCACAUGAUUAAAGGUAUUCCGGUAGACGAUGGGGAUGCGUUCCAUUAGAUAGUAGGCGGGGUAACGGCCCACCUAGUCUUCGAUGGAUAGGGGUUCUGAGAGGAAGGUCCCCCACAUUGGAACUGAGACGCGGUCCAAACUCCUACGGGAGGCAGCAGUGAGGAAUAUUGGUCAAUGGGCGCAGGCCUGAACCAGCCAAGUAGCGUGAAGGAUGACUGCCCUAUGGGUUGUAAACUUCUUUUAUAAAGGAAUAAAGUCGGGUAUGUAUACCCGUUUGCAUGUACUUUAUGAAUAAGGAUCGGCUAACUCCGUG
Molecule: ribosomal RNA, 490 nt
Filed under: uncultured bacterium
Lineage: Bacteria
Description: partial 16S ribosomal RNA
Rfam family: Bacterial small subunit ribosomal RNA
Source: RNAcentral